RNAcentral lists this ribosomal RNA (487 nucleotides) under uncultured archaeon. Its description in RNAcentral is "bacterial SSU rRNA". It matches the Rfam family "Archaeal small subunit ribosomal RNA", at positions 325 to 813 of the family's 1478-position model. The record is from RNAcentral.
ACGGGGUGCAGCAGGCGCGAAAACUUCACAAUGUGCGAAAGCACGAUGAGGGAAUCCCAAGUGCUUGCACGUAAGUGUAAGCUGUUUCUAUGUUUAAAACGCAUUGAGAGUAAGGGCUGGGUAAGACGGGUGCCAGCCGCCGCGGUAAUACCUGCAGCUCGAGUGGUGGCCGCUAUUAUUGGGCCUAAAACGUCCGUAGCCGGUUUAAUAAAUGCCUGGGUAAAUCGUGUAGCUUAACUAUACGAAUUCCGGGUAGACUGUUAAGCUUGAGAUCGGGAGAAGUUAGAGGUACUCCUGGGGUAGAGGUGAAAUUCUGUAAUCCUAGGGGGACCACCAGUGGCGAAGGCGUCUAACUAGAACGAGUCUGACGGUGAGGGACGAAGCCCUGGGGCGCGAACCGGAUUAGAUACCCGGGUAGUCCAGGGUGUAAACGCUGCUUGCUUGAUGUUAGUCGGGCUUCGAGCCCGAUUACUGUCGGAAAGAAGUU